GCCAGGAUGGCUGAGCGGUUAAAGCGUCCGCCUCGAAAGCGGAUCCCUUAUGGGUCAGGGGUUCAAAUCCCCUUCCUGGCG
Molecule: transfer RNA, 81 nt
Filed under: archaeon
Lineage: Archaea
Description: tRNA-Ser
Rfam family: tRNA
About the family: Transfer RNA (tRNA) molecules are approximately 80 nucleotides in length. Their secondary structure includes four short double-helical elements and three loops (D, anti-codon, and T loops).
Source: RNAcentral